Molecule: long non-coding RNA, 135 nt
Organism: Hibiscus syriacus
Lineage: Eukaryota; Viridiplantae; Streptophyta; Magnoliopsida; Malvales; Malvaceae
Exons: 2
Source: RefSeq, a predicted model, not a curated record
UGCAGGAUUGGUUCUGAAAUAGAUGGUCGGAAAGCGUGCAACAUUCUUCAUGCUGCUGGGCCUUCGAAGGUUGUGAUUACUAGCAUCAAUAUAGAAGGCAAUCUUCUUCUCAUUGGCAGUCAUCUGAAAGAUAAG